Molecule: ribosomal RNA, 503 nt
Filed under: uncultured bacterium
Lineage: Bacteria
Description: partial 16S ribosomal RNA
Rfam family: Bacterial small subunit ribosomal RNA
Source: RNAcentral
AUUGAACGCUGGCGGCAGGCUUAACACAUGCAAGUCGAGCGGGGUGAUGGUGCUUGCACUAUCACUUAGCGGCGGACGGGUGAGUAAUGCUUAGGAAUCUGCCUAUUAGUGGGGGACAACAUCUCGAAAGGGAUGCUAAUACCGCAUACGUCCUACGGGAGAAAGCAGGGGAUCACUUGUGACCUUGCGCUAAUAGAUGAGCCUAAGUCGGAUUAGCUAGUUGGUGGGGUAAAGGCCUACCAAGGCGACGAUCUGAAGCGGGUCUGAGAGGAUGAUCCGCCACACUGGGACUGAGACACGGCCCAGACUCCUACGGGAGGCAGCAGUGGGGAAUAUUGGACAAUGGGGGGAACCCUGAUCCAGCCAUGCCGCGUGUGUGAAGAAGGCCUUAUGGUUGUAAAGCACUUUAAGCGAGGAGGAGGCUCUUUUGGUUAAUACCCAAGAUGAGCGGACGUUACUCGCAGAAUAAGCACCGGCUAACUCUGUGCCAGCAGCCGCCGCAG